Molecule: long non-coding RNA, 338 nt
Filed under: Trifolium pratense (red clover)
Lineage: Eukaryota; Viridiplantae; Streptophyta; Magnoliopsida; Fabales; Fabaceae
Description: long non-coding RNA (TPRA_LNC013689)
Source: RNAcentral
AAGAAAAUAGAGUGGAAAGAGUUUGGGAAUGGAGGAAUCGACAUCCUCCCCUCUUUCGAAUCACUCACGAAUAUGUAAUCUAACUCUCGUACCUUAGUUCGACGAAUCCACAAGCUUGCUCUACUCUUCUCUCCCACGAGCUCCUCCUCUUGCUCUUUCCCUAGCACUUCUCUUGCUCUUUCUCAAGAAUUGUAACUUAUGAGACUAUUCAUGGUUGACUUGCUACUUAUAGCUCUCUCUAUUCUCAUGGAUCAAAGCCCAAUUGGCUAAGCCCAAUAACCACUUACACGCCCCAAGGCCCAAUCAACAUAACUUCUCGCUCAUUAACUUACGUUCUC